CCAUCCUCUCCAACGACUACGAGGGACAACACCUGAAGUGGCGAACGGGUGAGUAACACGUGGGAACGUAUCUUUUGCAGGGGGAUAACUGACCGAAAGGACAGCUAAUACCGCAUAAGUCCGAGAGGAGAAAGGUGCAACAGCAUCGGCAGAAGAGCGGCCCGCGGUCCAUCAGCUAGUUGGUGAGGUAAGGGCUUACCAAGGCGACGACGGAUAGCCGGCGUGAGAGCGUGGCCGGCCACAAGGACA
Molecule: ribosomal RNA, 249 nt
Filed under: uncultured bacterium
Lineage: Bacteria
Description: partial 16S ribosomal RNA
Rfam family: Bacterial small subunit ribosomal RNA (bases 43-249)
Source: RNAcentral